GAGGGUGUAGCUCAGUGGCAGAGCACAUGCGUGACAUGCACAGGUCCUGGGUUCAAUCCCCAGCACCUCCA
RNAcentral lists this transfer RNA (71 nucleotides) under Camelus bactrianus (Bactrian camel). It matches the Rfam family "tRNA". From Rfam's summary of the family: Transfer RNA (tRNA) molecules are approximately 80 nucleotides in length. RNAcentral also lists the same sequence under 2 other names. The record is from Rfam by way of RNAcentral. Lineage: Eukaryota; Metazoa; Chordata; Mammalia; Artiodactyla; Camelidae.